RNAcentral lists this ribosomal RNA (510 nucleotides) under uncultured bacterium. Its description in RNAcentral is "bacterial SSU rRNA". It matches the Rfam family "Bacterial small subunit ribosomal RNA", at positions 28 to 527 of the family's 1533-position model. The record is from RNAcentral.
GACGAACGCUGGCGGCGUGGAUUAGGCAUGCAAGUCGAACGGUAUCAUCCUUUCGGGGGUGAGAGAGUGGCGAACUGGUGAGUAACACGUAGGUUAUCUACCCUCAAGACGGGGACAACCCAGGGAAACUUGGGCUAAUACCGGAUGUGAGCAACUUUUAGUUGUUUGAAAGGUGGCGUAAGCUGUCGCUUGGGGAUGAGCCUGCGUCCUAUUAGUUAGUUGGUGAGGUAACGGCUCACCUAGGCAAUGAUAGGUAGGCGGCCUUAACGGGUGGUCGCCCACACUGGGAUUGAGAUACGGCCCAGACUCCUACGGGAGGCAGCAGUCGAGAAUAGUCUACAAUGGUCGGAAGACUGAUAGUGCGACGCCGCGUGAACGAUGAAUCCCUUCGGGGUGUAAAGUUCUUUUAUAUGUGAGCAGUGCUUCUUAUAUUAACAGUAUGGGGAGAGAGAUAUUAGCAUAUGAAUAAAGCAACGGCUAACUCCGUGCCAGCAGCCGCGGUAAAAUACC